CCAUCCACCCACGGUAAGUCCUUACAACUUUGGCCAGCUCUUUCUAGCAUCAUCAAACCCAUUCAGUACAUUCCAACAGUCCGGCCAGUCAGUCCUCAGAUCAUCCUAUCACCGAUCUUCGGAACACGGUCGCUACACUCUUCCCGUUGCUCUGAUGAUUCAUGAUAACUCGACGGAUCGCAUGGCCUUAGUGCUGGCGACACAUCAUCAAAUUUCUGCCCUAUCAACUUUCGAUGGUAGGAUAGUGGCCUACCAUGGUGGUACCGGGUGAUGGAGAAUUAGGGUUUGAUUCCGGAGAGGGAGCCUGAGAAACGGCUACCACAUCCAAGGAAGGCAGCAGG
Molecule: non-coding RNA, 341 nt
Organism: Brassica napus (rape)
Lineage: Eukaryota; Viridiplantae; Streptophyta; Magnoliopsida; Brassicales; Brassicaceae
Source: Rfam